GAUGGAUGUUGUUUUUAGUUUUUUAUUUUGUUUUUUAGGAUUAUAAUUUGAAAUAAAACUUAUUUCUAAAAAAAUUGCAGUAAGACAACAUAAAAAUAAUAUGAUUAACAAAUUGCUAAAAACUGUUCUAAAAUCUUUCAGUACAUUAGAAAAUGAAAACUAGGCAGAAAGAUGUCACUGCAGAAGAUACUGAACAGAUGUGAGAUAUGCCUGAAUCACUUUUUGUGAAAAGGAUGAAGGGAGGUAAUUUAAGUACUAAGUCAAAUAGGGAUGACAAAGGCUAACAUUCGAAUGUUGAAUUGAUGAAUUAAAAAGUGCACAAGAAGAGAAUUUGUUGUUACUGCUCAAAAAAGUGGGGGGAAUCUCAGGGUCAUGGUGGGUAACAGAAGUGCCAAUUCAGUCAGCCGCAGCAUUGAAAAAGACAGGUUUCAUGUUAGGGAUUAUUAGAAAGGGGAUUGAAAAUAAUCUAUUAUGCAACAGCACUUGGAAUACUGUGUACAGUUCUGACUGGCACAACAAAGAAAGGCAACAUGGGGCUUGCAAGCUGAAAAAAACAAAACAGGUGGAGGAUCAAAAUGAUCAAAAGAUGUGGGCUCCUUCCUGAUCAGGAAAGGCUAAAACACCAUGAAUUCUUUUAUUUUAGAAAUAAAAGGGGUACAACUAAUGAGAAACAUGACAGAGAUUUAAUUAGGCAUGGCACAGAAAGAGUGAAGUGAGGUUUUUUCCCCUCUUUCAUAUACUAGGACUUCAGGAUACCCAAUUAAACUGAUUGGUAAUAGCCCCAGACUAAUGAAAACAGUAUCUGAAAUCCUGUUGAAACCAGUGGGACUUGCUUCCAAAUAAAUAUGCAUAGAAUUGCACUAAAAUAUUUUUCUACACAAAGCAUAAUUUAUAGCAUUGGUUAUCACAAGAUGUUAUCACAAGAUCUGAACCUCUGGGUCAGAUGCUUUAAAAUCCAGAGAUGAUUCAACAAUCUCCAAGCAGGUAGAUCUAGCACAGCCUUCCCCUACAUGGGUUGCUCUGGAUGCUGUUGGACCAUCUCUGACCAUCACCAUGAUUGGUGGGGCUGAUGCAAAUUACAGCCCACAACAUCUGGAGAAAUCCAGGUUGUAUAAGACUGGCCUACCAACAGCUGUGAAGUACUCUAUCCAAAUGGAGUCUCCAGGUUCAGAGACAACAAUGCUGGCAGACCAAAAACAUACAGUUGUUGUCUUUCCACCCUGCGUGGGGGUUUCUGGAAGCAUCUGACCAGCCAAUGUGGGAAAUAGAAUGCUGCACUAGAUAGAUCCUUGGUCUGCUCAAGCAGGGCUCUUCCUAUUAGGUCCCUUUUAGAUACCAUGGCAAAUAGAGAUGGAUACUAGAGAUGGCAAAAGUACACCAUUAUAUCCUCAGAAAGUGUUAUAUUUAUUUAUGUAAUUUUGGAUAAGAAUUUAUUAAGAUCUGGUUUUGUCUAAAAGUGUUUAUGUGAAUGUACAAUAUCAGACUGUAUCUUGGAAGCUGCAAUUAGUAAUCACACAAUACAUAAUUAUGUCAUAUUUCAGCACAUGUUGCACUUCUGAAAGAAAAUGUUUAAGCCAAUCGGUUCGGUGUACUGCACAUGCAAAAAUGCUACAGUUUAAAUGCAGUGUGCAUCUCUGAAGUUCACAAUCUGUUCUGAAAUAAGUAAUACAAAUGUGAUCAUUGUGGGUACACAAGUUUUGGCCAACAAGCCACCUUCUUAUGAAAAUGAUGGUAUCACUAAUUGAAAAACAUAUAUUAUAUGAAUUUUUAAAAGUCGUCUGAGCCAGUAACUGUUGGUAUUGAAUUGUAUGCAUUAAUUUCAAAUUAAAUAUACAAUCAUUAAGACUGAGAUCUACCAAAAUUUAAACAAAACCCAUAUGUUUUCAUGCCUCAUUCUGCACUGUUCUCUCUAGUACCGUAAGUAUUUCAUAAUUCAGAGUAAAUCAAUGCUCACCAUGAUUAAAAAAAAAUCACUCAGGAUGUCAAGAUGAACAAUCAGAGUCCCUGCUUUCAUUUUAUUAAUUCCCCCUAUUUCUUCUAUUCACACAGAAACAUAAUACAAGGCAGCUUUUCACCUUUUCUCAAAAAUGGUUAGACUCUGAGGUUAGGCUCAGAUAGUGAUCCUGAAAUUGAAAAGUAUUAUACUAGGUACAGAAACAAUGCAGGAAACACUGCCCCUUUUCCUUUCUCUUUAUUCAAAAUCUGUCUGUUCACCGCAGAUGUUAUUUUAGUCUUUUUCCAUUUUGAAAAGAUAAUCAUCUGGUGAUUUCCUGGCAUUAUCAUGGUAACAUUUAUGGAAAAGCAUUAAACACCGAUUGGUUUUUUCCACUAUCAAACCUUGAAAGAUUCUAGGAAUCUAAAUAGUUAAACAAAUAGGAUGCAAUUUCUAAAUCACAAUAAUUAGUUGGCACCUGACUUUGAUUCUAUACUGCCUUGAAAUAAAUGUUUAUUACAACAUGGUGUUAUGAUAUGUGUAUUACAAUGUGGUGUUACAACAUUAGAACUGGCCAUUUUUCCUGGCUAGUUCUUUUGCUUUUCCCUUGCUUUAUCAUGUUCUCUCCUUACUCAGGUAAUGUGAAGUAACCAGGAAGCAUGCCUUGUUUGGUUGCUAAGAAAUCCUGCUUACCAGAAGUGACAGAGGCACCAGAGUGGCAGUCUAUGUCAUUCAAAAGCAACUCUUGUUCCAUUAAGUUAUACUUGGAGUCUUCAGAGACAACACAUGAUAUCGCUUUACAGUAUGUUUGCCACAGAAACAUGUGCCUUUACAACAGAGUUGGCAAGUUGCAGCCCUCCAGAUGUUUUGACUCUCAACUUUCCAUCACCUGAGACAGCAGAGCCAAUGGGAACUCCUCCUUCUUUGGCAGUUCUCUUGGCACCUUUCAAUACCAUCAACUACGGUAUCCUUCUGAAGUGACUCUGAGCUGAGAGCGUGGGGCAAGUUCUGCAUCACUUGCUUUCCACCCCUACUUGGGUGGUUGAGUCUCAGAGGUGGUGCUUGGAGGUCAGUGAUCCAGUCUGAUGGAUUCUUCUCAAGAAUCAGCCUUAUCCCCCAUGCUGUUCUAUAUCUACAUGAAACUGCUUAGUUUGACACCAGCUCUAUUUCAUCUUUUUGACUCCUUCAGGUGAGAGUGUGGAUGAGUUAAGUCAGAGCCUGACUACAACUAUGGACUGGAUGAGGACUUUAAAAAAAGCUCUAAUAAAGCUCUAAAAAGCUCUAAUAAUAAACAAACACACUCCAGACAAAA
Long non-coding RNA from Varanus komodoensis (Komodo dragon), 3245 nucleotides. RefSeq lists it as uncharacterized. The record is from RefSeq and is a predicted model, not a curated record. The transcript is spliced from 2 exons. NCBI's taxonomy places the organism in Eukaryota, Metazoa, Chordata, Lepidosauria, Squamata, Varanidae.